Molecule: non-coding RNA, 91 nt
Organism: Mycena latifolia
Lineage: Eukaryota; Fungi; Basidiomycota; Agaricomycetes; Agaricales; Mycenaceae
Source: the annotation of a GenBank genome assembly
CCGGAGAUGGUGCAAAGGAUAGCGCGGCCCUCGGGAUAGCUUGUGGGAAUCCGGGCUUGGGCAGAUCGGGGUUCAAUUCCCCGUUUCCGCG